RNAcentral lists this transfer RNA (71 nucleotides) under Marmota monax (woodchuck). Its description in RNAcentral is "tRNA.Ala". Lineage: Eukaryota; Metazoa; Chordata; Mammalia; Rodentia; Sciuridae. The record is from RNAcentral.
GUGGUUGUAGCUCAGUGGUAGAGUGCUUACUUAGCACAUGUAAGGCACUGGGUUCGAUCCUAAGCACCACA